GUGGGGAAUAUUGGACAAUGGGCGAAAGCCUGAUCCAGCCAUGCCGCGUGUGUGAAGAAGGUCUUCGGAUUGUAAAGCACUUUAAGUUGGGAGGAAGGGCAGUAAGUUAAUACCUUGCUGUUUUGACGUUACCGACAGAAUAAGCACCGGCUAACUUCGUGCCAGCAGCCGCGGUAAUACGAAGGGUGCAAGCGUUAAUCGGAAUUACUGGGCGUAAAGCGCGCGUAGGGGGUUUUGUAAGUUGGAGGUGAAAUCCCCGGGCUCAACCUGGGAACUGCCUCCAAAACUGCAUGACUAGAGUACGGUAGAGGGUAGUGGAAUUUCCUGUGUAGCGGUGAAAUGCGUAGAUAUAGGAAGGAACACCAGUGGCGAAGGCGACUACCUGGACUGAUACUGACACUGAGGUGCGAAAGCGUGGGGAGCAAACAGGAUUAGAAACCCCGGUAGUCC
This 450-nucleotide ribosomal RNA is filed under the name uncultured bacterium. Its description in RNAcentral is "partial 16S ribosomal RNA". It matches the Rfam family "Bacterial small subunit ribosomal RNA", at positions 354 to 796 of the family's 1533-position model. The record is from RNAcentral.